CAGCAGCCGCGGUAAUACAGAGGAUGCAAGCGUUAUCCGGAAUGAUUGGGCGUAAAGCGUCUGUAGGUGGCUUUUCAAGUCCGCCGUCAAAUCCCAGGGCUCAACCCUGGACAGGCGGUGGAAACUACCAAGCUGGAGUACGGUAGGGGCAGAGGGAAUUUCCGGUGGAGCGGUGAAAUGCGUAGAGAUGCGGAGGAAUACCGAAGGCGAAGGCAGCCCCUUGGGAAUGUACUGACGCUCAUGUGCGAAAGCGUGGGGAGCAAACAGGAUUAGAUACCCGAGUAGUCCUGUCUUUUAUACA
RNAcentral lists this ribosomal RNA (301 nucleotides) under uncultured bacterium. Its description in RNAcentral is "partial 16S ribosomal RNA". It matches the Rfam family "Bacterial small subunit ribosomal RNA", at positions 509 to 809 of the family's 1533-position model. The record is from RNAcentral.